RNAcentral lists this transfer RNA (135 nucleotides) under Caudoviricetes sp. RNAcentral's name for it is "tRNA-OTHER". It matches the Rfam family "tRNA". From Rfam's summary of the family: Transfer RNA (tRNA) molecules are approximately 80 nucleotides in length. Their secondary structure includes four short double-helical elements and three loops (D, anti-codon, and T loops). Further hydrogen bonds mediate the characteristic L-shaped molecular structure. tRNAs have two regions of fundamental functional importance: the anti-codon, which is responsible for specific mRNA codon recognition, and the 3' end, to which the tRNAs corresponding amino acid is attached (by aminoacyl-tRNA synthetases). tRNAs cope with the degeneracy of the genetic code in two manners: having more than one tRNA (with a specific anti-codon) for a particular amino acid; and 'wobble' base-pairing, i.e. permitting non-standard base-pairing at the 3rd anti-codon position. Lineage: Duplodnaviria; Heunggongvirae; Uroviricota; Caudoviricetes. The record is from RNAcentral.
GCCAACGUAGCCAAGAGGUAAGGCGUCCGCUGUUCUAUUGAAUGUAUCUAGUACUCAAGAUACUAACAGCAAACUUUACAAGAGAGCAUCAAAAUCCAAUCGGAUAAUCGUAGGUUCGAAUCCUAUCGUUGGCCA